ACACCUCAACUCUCAUGGUCUGCCAUGAUGAGCUUGGACUUUGGGGGUCUUGCCGGCUUAACCGUCAGCUCCUCUCAAAUGAAUCAGCUUGCCAGUGUUUGGUGGCGUCGCAGGUGUGAUAACUAUCUACGCUUGUGGACUUCCACCAGGUUACCUUCAGUAAUGGGGGUUCGCUGGAGCUCACAGAUGUCUCUCCUCAGUGAGGACAGCUUUUUUAU
Molecule: unclassified non-coding RNA, 218 nt
Filed under: uncultured Tomentella
Lineage: Eukaryota; Fungi; Basidiomycota; Agaricomycetes; Thelephorales; Thelephoraceae
Description: sequence contains ITS2
Source: RNAcentral